UGAGUCUUUGAACACGUCUGAAGUCUGAAAAAAGCAAAAUAGUUAAAACAGUGUGCGAGCGGAGCAGCGGACGGGACAUUUUCUGUCUGUCUUUGGCCCGUGUGUUAAAUGGGAUGGGAGGAGAUCACUGCAGGUGUGAGUAGUCUUCACACACUUACAUAUAACUCUAUAAAACGGCGAACACACACACACAUGAAAUACAAGUGAUGCUUCAUCCACAGUCAUGGCAUCCCAACUUUCCUUUCUGUUUGGCAUCCGACACACUGGUCAGCUACAGGGAGACAUACACACACAGGGAUUAAAACAAAUCAAACAAAUAAAGUGUGGGAUCUAGUUAACAUGCCAAUACCAUUUACAAUAGAUAUGAGAACAGAGAAGAGAAGGAGUAG
Molecule: long non-coding RNA, 389 nt
Organism: Rhinichthys klamathensis goyatoka
Lineage: Eukaryota; Metazoa; Chordata; Actinopteri; Cypriniformes; Leuciscidae
Exons: 2
Source: RefSeq, a predicted model, not a curated record